UAUGGCUGUGAUGACACACUUGCCCUCACUGAGAUAAGGCUUGAUUGAUAUAAUUUGUACUCCUGAGCCACA
Small nucleolar RNA from Sparus aurata (gilthead seabream), 72 nucleotides. NCBI's taxonomy places the organism in Eukaryota, Metazoa, Chordata, Actinopteri, Spariformes, Sparidae. The record is from Ensembl.